This is a long non-coding RNA of Salvia miltiorrhiza (redroot sage), 478 nucleotides long. RefSeq lists it as uncharacterized. The transcript has 3 exons. Lineage: Eukaryota; Viridiplantae; Streptophyta; Magnoliopsida; Lamiales; Lamiaceae. The record is from RefSeq and is a predicted model, not a curated record.
AACACACACACUAAAACACAUUAGAAACACACACACUUCACGUUAACACCAUUUCUUUGGUGUUCAAGCUUUUGACCUCCGAUUUGAGCACCGAGACGAGCGCCGAUCAUCUUUUCGAUCACGUAUCUAAGUAGGUCCUUUUGGGAAGUAACGACUUGAGGGAGAGAGUGACGUUACUCAUUGAUACAGAGACACAACGAGGUUGAGCUGAUGUGAUGAUGGUGCUGCAAUGAGCGGAGUCUCCAGGGUUGUUAAUAAAUAGUUAACCUGUCUAGAAUAUGUCUUCAUACAUAUGUCUAGCUACUUUCCGCUGCAAGAUGUUGUUGAUGUUAUAGUAUGUUAUGUCAUACUUUGAGUCUUAAGAGAAUGGUUUCAUAUGAUGUAUAACUUGAUUAAUGAUAUUAAUUAACUUUUAUGCAGUCUUUCAUAGACUGUUUUCAAUUGAGUAUUAAUGAAUAAAAAUGACGAGUUUUAUUAA